AAAAAAAAAAAAAAAAACAAUUAGCAAGGGGAAACAAAACUCCAAUCGAUUCACGAUUAGAUUCAGGAACAAACAGUAUGCCAUAGAGAAAUAAAACUCAUUGAUUCACCAUCAGAUUCAACAAUGGAUUCAAAAGCUUCAUAAUUCAACAAUCAAACCAUGCAACAACCAAUUAUAUUGAGUAAACUCCAUCAAAGCAGAGUAGAAGAUGAGUCGCUGCUGUGGAUCUCAACAAUAUCUUUAAGAACGAAGGGAUGCUGCUUUAGAAGAAGAAGAAGAAGAAGA
Molecule: unclassified non-coding RNA, 285 nt
Filed under: Hevea brasiliensis (rubber tree)
Lineage: Eukaryota; Viridiplantae; Streptophyta; Magnoliopsida; Malpighiales; Euphorbiaceae
Source: RNAcentral